AGUGAACGCUGGCGGCGUGCUUAACACAUGCAAGUCGAACGAGAACGGAUUAUAGCUUGCUAUAAUUGUCAGCUAAGUGGCGUACGGGUGAGUAAUGUAUAGGUAAUAUGCCUCUUACUAAGGGAUAACAAAUGGAAACGUUUGCUAAUACCUUAUACUCCUUAUUAACAGAAGUUAAUAAGGGAAAGAUUUAUUGGUAAGAGAUUAGCCUGUAUUGUAUCAGUUAGUUGGUGGGGUAAUGGCUUACAAAGACUAUGACACAUAACUGGUUUGAGAGGAUGAUCAGUCACACUGGAACUGAGACACGGUCCAGACUCCUACGGGAGGCAGCAGUGGGGAAUAUUGCACAAUGGACGAAAGUCUGAUGCAGCAACGCCGCGUGGAGGAUGACACAUUUCGGUGCGUAAACUCCUUUUAUAUGAGAAGAUAAUGACGGUAUUAUAUGAAUAAGCACCGGCUAACUCCGUGCCAGCCGCCGCAGUAA
RNAcentral lists this ribosomal RNA (484 nucleotides) under uncultured bacterium. RNAcentral's name for it is "partial 16S ribosomal RNA". It matches the Rfam family "Bacterial small subunit ribosomal RNA", at positions 29 to 523 of the family's 1533-position model. The record is from RNAcentral.